Molecule: transfer RNA, 77 nt
Filed under: Candidatus Omnitrophota bacterium
Lineage: Bacteria; Pseudomonadati; Candidatus Omnitrophota
Description: tRNA-Val
Rfam family: tRNA
About the family: Transfer RNA (tRNA) molecules are approximately 80 nucleotides in length. Their secondary structure includes four short double-helical elements and three loops (D, anti-codon, and T loops).
Source: RNAcentral
GGACACGUGGCUCAGCUGGUUAGAGCGUUGCGUUCACAUCGCAGAGGUCACAGGUUCGAAUCCUGUCGUGUCCACCA